CCUACGGGCGGCAGCAGUGGGGAAUAUUGCACAAUGGGCGCAAGCCUGAUGCAGCCAUGCCGCGUGUGUGAAGAAGGCCUUCGGGUUGUAAAGCACUUUCAGCGGGGAGGAAGGCGUUAAGGUUAAUAACCUUGGCGAUUGACGUUACCCGCAGAAGAAGCACCGGCUAACUCCGUGCCAGCAGCCGCGGUAAUACGGAGGGUGCAAGCGUUAAUCGGAAUUACUGGGCGUAAAGCGCACGCAGGCGGUCUGUCAAGUCGGAUGUGAAAUCCCCGGGCUCAACCUGGGAACUGCAUUCGAAACAGGCAGGCUAGAGUCUUGUAGAGGGGGGUAGAAUUCUAGGUGUAGCGGUGAAAUGCGUAGAGAUCUGGAGGAAUACCGGUGGCGAAGGCGGCCCCCUGGACAAAGACUGACGCUCAGGUGCGAAAGCGUGGGGAGCAAACAGGAUUAGAUACCCGGGUAGUC
This 465-nucleotide ribosomal RNA is filed under the name uncultured Klebsiella sp. RNAcentral's name for it is "bacterial SSU rRNA". It matches the Rfam family "Bacterial small subunit ribosomal RNA", at positions 338 to 795 of the family's 1533-position model. Lineage: Bacteria; Pseudomonadati; Pseudomonadota; Gammaproteobacteria; Enterobacterales; Enterobacteriaceae. The record is from RNAcentral.